This is a long non-coding RNA of Panicum hallii, 833 nucleotides long. RefSeq lists it as uncharacterized. The record is from RefSeq and is a predicted model, not a curated record. NCBI's taxonomy places the organism in Eukaryota, Viridiplantae, Streptophyta, Magnoliopsida, Poales, Poaceae. The transcript is spliced from 3 exons.
UCUCCAGUAGCCGGCCCUAAUUUUUUCUCCCCUGCGUCGGCUCCUGCGUGCCCUAUAAAUUCUCGCGUAACCCUACCCUCUGCAUCGCGUUUCAUCUGCCCACGUAGCCGGCCCUAGCUUUUCCUCGCGCCCCUGCUCUCCCUCCUCCUGCGCAUCCACGAAACAGGUGCUGCCGCCGGCCACCAGGAGCGUCGUCGCCCUUCUGUGCAUCUCCUGCCGCAACACUGCCAACCCCUGCCGGCCUCCUCAUCGCCUUGCCCAGGCCGCUCCUGCCCCUGCGCGCUGCCAGCAGCAGCUGCUGCAGCCGUUCCCUUUUCCCCCGUCCUCCUGCACGGCCCCUACAUCGCCAUCACCGUCACCCCUGGCCCCUGCUGCUCGCGCCCCUGCUGCUGCUGCCAGCGCCGCCGUCGCCUAGCCCCCGGCGUCGCCCUGUACCCGUGCUGCGCUGCGCGCCCUGCACUCCCCCCCCCUGCACCACGCUGCCCUACAGCCCCGCUGUCAUCCCCUGCAAGCUGCACGCACAGAAUCGCCCAAAAAUAGAUGAACAGAACAGACCUGACAUUGCUCUUUUCUCUCGCGAAAUUCGAUCGCCUCGGUGCAUCUCCGCUGCGGGAAGCUCCCGUGCAGCAGCCAUGGAGGAAACUCGAAAUUUUGCAAUCCAGUCCCUGGAGAAAGGUGUAAUCUUCCUGUUCUUUCCUGUGUCUUGCAGAUUUCGCGGAAAACCCCUUGGAUCUUUUCCAUCUUCUCAAUCCAGCCCCACCAUGGAAUUUUUCAGAUCUAACCCUAAUAUUUUCAAUAUUUAAGAAGCGCGAUCCAAGAGCUUUAAAGAUCUA